RNAcentral lists this ribosomal RNA (301 nucleotides) under uncultured bacterium. RNAcentral describes it as "partial 16S ribosomal RNA". It matches the Rfam family "Bacterial small subunit ribosomal RNA", at positions 512 to 808 of the family's 1533-position model. The record is from RNAcentral.
CAGCCGCCCGGUAAUACGGAGGGAGCUAGCGUUGUUCGGAAUUACUGGGCGUAAAGCGCACGUAGGCGGCUUUGUAAGUUAGAGGUGAAAGCCUGGAGCUCAACUCCAGAAUUGCCUUUAAGACUGCAUCGCUUGAAUCCAGGAGAGGUGAGUGGAAUUCCGAGUGUAGAGGUGAAAUUCGUAGAUAUUCGGAAGAACACCAGUGGCGAAGGCGGCUCACUGGACUGGUAUUGACGCUGAGGUGCGAAAGCGUGGGGAGCAAACAGGAUUAGAUACCCGCGUAGUCCCUGUCUCUUAUACA